This is a long non-coding RNA of Cynoglossus semilaevis (tongue sole), 812 nucleotides long. RefSeq lists it as uncharacterized. NCBI's taxonomy places the organism in Eukaryota, Metazoa, Chordata, Actinopteri, Pleuronectiformes, Cynoglossidae. The transcript has 3 exons. The record is from RefSeq and is a predicted model, not a curated record.
CAGGGAAAGAAUGGGGGCUUCCUCUUAGAAAUGAAAUGUGACCUGAAGCGGUCAUAUAAUAGCAGUGGCUGACUAACAGCUGUGGCUGGUUGCUGUUGGACACCGCACUGUACCUGCUUUAAAAUGGAACCAAAAGGCCUUUUAAAAUACUUAUUAAAAACGUAACCACUCUCAGAGAUCACACACACAAAUGUUUUUAAAAUAAAUUUACUGUCUGUAACCCAUUCCCAAUAGACUUGUAGGGUUGUGUUUAAUCUUUGUUAAUUUAGUCUUAUGAAAUUAGUUAUCAAUUAAUAUAUAAUUAUAAUUAUAUAAUUCUUGCUACAUUAAAAACAGCCUCAGAUAAAAACUCACUUUUAUUCUUGCAUGGACAGAAAAAGUGGAACUACUCUGUCUUUGAAUUUACAAAAGUGAAGUUAGUGAAAGCAAUACAGUUCAUUUAUAUUUUGCUUGUUAACAUGGUUUGUAGGGAGUGUCGUAAAUCCCUCCGGACCAAAAGGUAGCGCUAAUGAGCCGGUAAAAAAGCAAAUAGAAGACCGCGAACGUUGGGAGGAAGUCUCAGUUUUCUUCGGCAAGAAGUCACCGACGCAAUCUCCGAGGUAAGGUACGUGCGUGUGCCUAACCUGUACGACCCCGCAAGGACCUCUUCACAGUCGAUAAUCAUGAACUUUUCCAGGACUUGACCAGUGAAUUUCUUGCCACUUUUGGUGCAAAUGUAGACUGGGACUCGUCGCUUGUUAGAUGCCUCCAUGAGAUCACAGAGCAGGUCGACAUCUGUGAACAGGUCCAUGACUACGGCGAUGACCUGGAGG